Molecule: ribosomal RNA, 496 nt
Filed under: uncultured bacterium
Lineage: Bacteria
Description: partial 16S ribosomal RNA
Rfam family: Bacterial small subunit ribosomal RNA
Source: RNAcentral
AUGCACGCUGGCGGCGUGCCUCAUCCAUGCAAGUCGCGCGAACAGACGAGGAGCUUGCUCCUCUGACGUUAGCGGCGGACGGGUGAGUAACACGUGGAUAACCUACCUAUAAGACUGGGAUAACUUCGGGAAACCGGAGCUAAUAACGGAUAAUAUAUUGAACCGCAUGGUUCAAUAGUGAAAGACGGUUUUGCUGUCACUUAUAGAUGGAUCCGCGCCGCAUUAGCUAGUUGGUAAGGUAACGGCUUACCAAGGCGACGAUGCGUAGCCGACCUGAGAGGGUGAUCGGCCACACUGGAACUGAGACACGGUCCAGACUCCUACGGGAGGCAGCAGUAGGGAAUCUUCCGCAAUGGGCGAAAGCCUGACGGAGCAACGCCGCGUGAGUGAUGAAGGUCUUCGGAUCGUAAAACUCUGUUAUUAGGGAAGAACAAAUGUGUAAGUAACUAUGCACGUCUUGACGGUACCUAAUCAGAAAGCCACGGCUAACUACGUG